UGCCAGACAAGUUAGUGUUGGGCUUUAGUAGGAGGCCUGAGUUCUUUGUGGACCCCUCAUUAGGGCUCUUGGAAGUUGACUUCAUCCUGAAUUAGUGAGUCAACAGAUGAUGGAAGGUACAAAGAAAUUAAGAUAACAUGAAGGCAUUUCUUCUAAGAACAAUAAAAGAAAUGUGACAGAAGACACAGGAAAAAGUCCAAAAAUUGCCUCUGGUAUGAAAGCUGUUCAGUGGUCCCAGUGUGUGGAGGAGAGGAACUGUUGUCUGUCAGUUCAACAUGGUCGAUACACAACAAAAGGCAAUGGAUUCUGUCGGAGUAAAAUAAAAUAAGACUGAAUAGAAGAGAGGGGCUUGCAGUGAGAGAAGGAUCUUGCAUCCAAGGAAGAGAGGUGAUAUGAACAGCAUUAAUGAUAAUAAAAUCAAGUAUCGAUCAAUCCUGAAAACUAUUGAAGAAACUUUGUAUCCUGCAGCACUAAAUAUUCAACCAAGACUUCUGUAUUCUACAAAGACAAACAAUUGAACCCAUCUCAUUAA
This is a non-coding RNA of Peromyscus maniculatus bairdii (prairie deer mouse), 532 nucleotides long. The record is from RefSeq and is a predicted model, not a curated record. Lineage: Eukaryota; Metazoa; Chordata; Mammalia; Rodentia; Cricetidae.